This 360-nucleotide ribosomal RNA is filed under the name Neurotoma fasciata. RNAcentral describes it as "partial 16S ribosomal RNA". Lineage: Eukaryota; Metazoa; Arthropoda; Insecta; Hymenoptera; Pamphiliidae. The record is from RNAcentral.
AUAAUCAUUAGUCUUUUAAUUAAGGUCUAGUAUGAAUGAUUGAACGAAGUAUUAACUGUCUCAUUUUAAUUAAUAUUAAAAUUUAAUUUUUAAGUUAAAAAGCUUAAAUAAUUUUAAAGGACGAGAAGACCCUAUAGAACUUUAUAAUUUUAAGUUAAUUUUUAAAUUAUAGAAUUAUUAUUUUUAUUUAAUUUAUAUUAUUUUAUUGGGGUGAUAAAAAGAUUAAUUUAACUCUUUUAUAAUUUUUUUCAUUAAUUAAUGAUUUAUAAAUAGAUCCUGUAUUAUGGAUUAUUAAAUUAAGUUACCUUAGGGAUAACAGCGUAAUUUUUUUUUAGAGUUCAUAUUAACAAAAUAGAUUAC